This 468-nucleotide long non-coding RNA is filed under the name Marmota marmota marmota (Alpine marmot). Its description in RNAcentral is "lncRNA (ENSMMMG00000008097.1)". The record is from RNAcentral. Lineage: Eukaryota; Metazoa; Chordata; Mammalia; Rodentia; Sciuridae.
UGGAGGAGUGUGUGAAGAGGAUCCUGCUGUCAAAAGAUUCCUGGCCUGGGACAAGAACCUGAGGGUGUCUGACAAGUACCUCCUGUCUAUGAUCAUAGCUUAUGUUAGCCGGGCUGGCCUCUUCUCCUGGCAGUACCAACGAAUCCACUUCUUUCUGGCCCUGACGCUCAAGGACCUAACUUCUUGAUCCAGUCCUGUCCACCUCCCACCCACAGCCACCUCUGUAGAGGUAAAACAGACUGAAUCUCCAAGUCAGCUUCAUGGUCUCAAACCCCAACCACAUAGAUGACCUCCUAGAGGUGUGCUGGGUGCUCUGAGGUUGCUCAUCCAGACCUGAGAGAGAACAGUUUGUCACACAGGACGUGCUAGAAAUCCUUAACCCAGACAAUUUGGGCCCAAAUGUCGGCAAUGGUGAAAGGUUGAUCUUGGUCUAAAGUGAAUAAAUGUCCUUUAGUCAUGAAUAUCUCA